UACAGAGGGUGCAAGCGUUAAUCGGAAUUACUGGGCGUAAAGCGUGCGUAGACGGUUAUGUAAGUCAGAUGUGAAGGCCCCGGGCUCAACCUGGGAAUUGCAUUUGAGACUGCAUAGCUAGGGUGCGGAAGAGGGAAGCGGAAUUUCCGGUGUAGCGGUGAAAUGCGUAGAUAUCGGAAGGAACACCAGUGGCGAAAGCGGCUUCCUGGUCCAGCACCGACGUUCAGGCACGAAAGCGUGGGGAGCAAACAGG
RNAcentral lists this ribosomal RNA (253 nucleotides) under uncultured bacterium. RNAcentral's name for it is "partial 16S ribosomal RNA". It matches the Rfam family "Bacterial small subunit ribosomal RNA", at positions 524 to 776 of the family's 1533-position model. The record is from RNAcentral.